Molecule: ribosomal RNA, 492 nt
Filed under: uncultured bacterium
Lineage: Bacteria
Description: partial 16S ribosomal RNA
Rfam family: Bacterial small subunit ribosomal RNA
Source: RNAcentral
AUUGAACGCUGGCGGCAUGCUUUACACAUGCAAGUCGAACGGUAACAGGCCUUCGGGUGCUGACGAGUGGCGAACGGGUGAGUAAUGCAUCGGAACGUACCCAGAGGUGGGGGAUAACGCAGCGAAAGCUGUGCUAAUACCGCAUGUGAUCUGAGGAUGAAAGCGGGGGACCGAGCAGCAAUGUUUGGCCUCGCGCCUUUGGAGCGGCCGAUGUCGGAUUAGCUAGUUGGUGGGGUAAAGGCCUACCAAGGCGACGAUCCGUAGCUGGUCUGAGAGGACGACCAGCCACACUGGAACUGAGACACGGCCCAGACUCCUACGGGAGGCAGCAGUGGGGAAUUUUGGACAAUGGGCGCAAGCCUGAUCCAGCAAUGCCGCGUGCGUGAAGAAGGCCUUCGGGUUGUAAACCGCUUUUGGCAGGAACGAAACGGUGUCCGCUAAUACCGGGCGCUAAUGACGGUACCUGCAGAAUAAGCACCGGCUAACUACGUG